CCUACGGGGGGCAGCAGUAGGGAAUCUUCCACAAUGGGGGAAACCCUGAUGCAGCGACGCCGCGUGAGUGAAGAAGUACUUCGUUACGUAAAGCUCUAUUAGCAGGGAAGAAAAUGACGGUACCUGAGUAUUAAGCCCCCGCUAAUUACUGGCCAGCAGCCGCGGGAAUACGUAGGGGGCAAGCGUUAUCCGGAUUUACUGGGUGUAAAGGGAGCGUAGACGGCAGUGCAAGUCUGGAGUGAAAGGCGUGGGCUCAACCCGCGGACUGCUCUGGAAACUGUACGGCUGGAGUGCAGGAGAGGUAAGUGGAAUUCCUAGUGUAGCGGUGAAAUGCGUAGAUAUAAGGAGGAACACCAGUGGCGAAGGCGGCUUACUGGACUGUAAUUGACGUUGAGGCUCGAAAGCGUGGGGAGCAAACAGGAUUAGAUACCCCGGUAGUC
RNAcentral lists this ribosomal RNA (440 nucleotides) under uncultured bacterium. RNAcentral's name for it is "partial 16S ribosomal RNA". It matches the Rfam family "Bacterial small subunit ribosomal RNA", at positions 338 to 795 of the family's 1533-position model. The record is from RNAcentral.